RNAcentral lists this long non-coding RNA (2358 nucleotides) under Nicotiana benthamiana. Its description in RNAcentral is "long non-coding RNA (NBEN_LNC017715)". The record is from RNAcentral. Lineage: Eukaryota; Viridiplantae; Streptophyta; Magnoliopsida; Solanales; Solanaceae.
AGUUUCCCAACAUUACAUUCUCUCUCAAAUUCUUUCAGGAUAUUAAAUUCUAUUUUAAUGGCUGUUUUCAAUUAUUCUUAUUUUACCAUUUUCUUCGUACAUUACUUUUUAUUCUUCUUCUUCUUCUUCUUUGCAGAUUGUAGCAGUGUAUCAGCAGCAUCCAGUCGCCGCCAUAAAUGGAUAGGACCUUCAGGCACUCGCCAUAUCUCAGUUAAUGUUAAUGGUUAUGGAGAUUACCAGUCAGUUCAGGCUGCUGUGGACUCUAUUCCACACAACAACCGAAUGAAUGUCAUUAUUGACAUUUGCCCUGGUUAUUACAUGUUUAUGACACAUGUAUCAAACAUGCAUCACGCAUGUAUCUCACACAUAGAUAUACAUGGAUAUACAUGUGAUACACAAUCGAUACAAAUAUGAUACACAGUGUGAUACACGUAUCUUUUUUUUUUCAUAUUUAGUUUUUACUUCGAAUUUUCGAUUCAAACCACCUCAAAACUUCACCAAAUCAUUUCAAAACUGAGAUUCAAGCUUUUUAAAAUAUACCCAAUCUAUUAUAAUAGCACACACUCUAAAGAAAGUAAAAAUUUGAUAUUUUUCUGUUACAAAUUAGCCAUUUUAACUAAUAUUAGUAAUAUUCUAUUAAUUAAUUACUUUUUAUAAUAAGCUACUUCUAAAUGGACAAUAACUGAUAAUUUCUCAUUCUUUUUUCAUUCUACACACAAAUUAAUUACUAUUAACUGCUCAAGGUUAACCAGGAUUUCAUUCUUCUUUUAAUUGUAUAUUCAAUGAUUUGAGGUCCUACACCCAAAAAUCAAGCAAAAUCAACAUCCCAUCAUAAAUAACUUUCUUGCUUCUUUUAAAAAGAUCAAUCUUUAUACAAGUUUGGAAUUUUUGUCUAAACGCCCCUUUGUGGGGAAAAGUUCUUUUCCCCCUUUCCAACGUUCGGGAAAAACCGACUUUUAAAUUCGAAGGGCCCAUCCAUUUCCAUGAACAUUAAAAACAAACAAAAAUAUAAAAUUACUCAUACACAUAGCUAGGGAGUGGGACCAAGGGGAGAAGAAGGAAAGCAACUAUAGUGUAUUUUAUUAGUACAAAAAUGUUGAGACCAGGCUAGGACCAUUUUUUCCCUACAUGCACACCAUUAUCGCUAUAUUACUCGUAUGUAUUCCCCACACGCAAAUAAUAAACAUGACCGUUUCAACGUUUAUCUAUAACAUUUAGGGCUCCUUUGGUAUUAGGGAUAAGAGAUCUUGGGAUUAAAUUUGAGAUAAAUUUAUUUUAUAUUUGGUUAAAAUAAAACUAUGGUAUAAUUAAUUUCGAGAUUAAUUAUCUCAGGAUUAUAAUAUUUUUUUAAUCCCUAUGGGAGGAUGAAAUAAUUAAUCCCAGGAUAAUCCCGAAAUAAUUAAUCAUGGAAUAACUUGUUUGUCAACCAAACGACCCCUUAUAGCUAAACAUUCGAGACACUUUGUAGUCUUCAUUUUUUGUUUCCCGCUCAAUGUUUGAUAUUCGCAUUGAGGUCCGAUUAAGUUUGAAUAAGUCCGGCAUUCUUCCCUCCAAAAACUUCUCACCUUGCUCUUGGGGAGAUUCGAACCAACUACCUCUCGGUUGAAAAUGAGGGUUGCUUACCAUCAGAGAACCCUUCUUGUCUCGAUUAGAAAUAGACCUUAAGUUUAAUUUACCUAUUCAUGUCAGUAAAUAAAAUACCGAUAUUCUAUGAAAAUGUGCCAUAUAACUAAAAAACAUUUUUAAUUCAUAAAACCUUUCUUCCUUUUAACUUCUUAUAUUUGUAGAGUAAUGGUAUUUCCUUUUUCUUAUUUUCUUUUUGAAUAGUGUAUGAUUAUACUUUUUCCUGCUAAUCAGCACAGAAAUCUAAGUUACAAAAGAUGAAAACAAAUAAUAAGAGUCCAAGUUCUUGACUUUUGAACAAAAUGGUCACGCAUAUAUAACAAAUUAAUUAUUAUCACAUUAUAUAAUUAAAAAUAUAUUCCUGAAGGCGAGGGAACACAGAAAAUAUGACCGUUGCAGGUUCCAAAUUCUCCACACAUAUAUAUACUUCCUUCACUUAAUAACAUUCUUCCCCAGUUUCCCAACAUUACAUUCUCUCUCAAAUUCUUUCAGGAUAUUAAAUUCUAUUUUAAUGGCUGUUUUCAAUUAUUCUUAUUUUACCAUUUUCUUCGUACAUUACUUUUUAUUCUUCUUCUUCUUCUUCUUUGCAGAUUGUAGCAGUGUAUCAGCAGCAUCCAGUCGCCGCCAUAAAUGGAUAGGACCUUCAGGCACUCGCCAUAUCUCAGUUAAUGUUAAUGGUUAUGGAGAUUACCAGUCAGUUCAGGCUGCUGUGGACUCUAUUCCACACAACAACCG